RNAcentral lists this ribosomal RNA (1477 nucleotides) under uncultured prokaryote. RNAcentral describes it as "partial 16S ribosomal RNA". It matches the Rfam family "Bacterial small subunit ribosomal RNA". The record is from RNAcentral.
GAGAAGUUGAUCCUGGCUCAGAACGAACGCUGGCGGCAGGCCUAACACAUGCAAGUCGAGCGCAAUCCUUCGGGAUCGAGCGGCGGGGGUUAGUAACGCGUGGGAAUGUACCCUUCUCUACGGAAUAGCCUCGGGAACCUGAGAGUAAUACCGUAUACGCCCUUUUGGGGAAAGAUUUAUCGGAGAAGGAUCAGCCCGCGUAAGAUUAGAUAGUUGGUGGGGUAAUGGCCUACCAAGUCUACGUUCAGUAGCUGGUCUGAGAGGAUGAUCAGCCACACUGGGACUGAGACACGGCCCAGACUCCUACGGGAGGCAGCAGUGGGGAAUAUUGGACAAUGGGCGAAAGCCUGAUCCAGCCAUGCCGCGUGUGUGAAGAAGGCCCUAGGGUUGUAAAGCACUUUCAGUAGGGAGGAAAAGUUAGUCGUUAAUAACGGCUAGCCGUGACGUUACCUACAGAAGAAGCACCGGCAAACUCCGUGCCAGCAGCCGCGGUAAUGCGGAGGGUGCGAGCGUCAAGCGGAAUUACUUCGCGUAAAGCGCGCGUAGGCGGCCUGAUUAGUUGGAUGUGAAAGCCCUGGGCUCAACCUAGGAACUGCAUUCAAAACUGUCAGGCUAGAGUAUGGUAGAGGAUAGUGGAAUUUCCUGUGUAGCGGUGAAAUGCGUAGAGAUGGGAAGGAACAUCAGUGGCGAAGGCGACUUACUGGACCAAUACUGACACUGAGGUACGAAAGCGUGGGUAGCAAACAGGAUUAGAUACCCUGGUAGUCCACGCCGUAAACGAUGUCUACUAGCCGUUGGGAUCCUUGAGGUCUUAGUGGCGCAGCUAACGCAUUAAGUAGACCGCCUGGGGAGUACGGUCGCAAGAUUAAAACUCAAAUGAAUUGACGGGGGCCCGCACAAGCGGUGGAGCAUGUGGUUUAAUUCGAAGCAACGCGAAGAACCUUACCAGGUCUUGACAUCCUGAAAACUUUCUAGAGAUAGAUUGGCGCCUUCGGGAACGCUAACACAGGUGCUGCAUGGCUGUCGUCAGCUCGUGUCGUGAGAUGUUGGGUUAAGUCCCGUAACGAGCGCAACCCUUGUCCUUAGUUGCCAGCACGUAAUGGUGGGAACUCUAAGGAGGCUGCCGGUGACAAACCGGAGGAAGGUGGGGAUGACGUCAAGUCAUCAUCGCCCUUAUGGGCUGGGCUACACACGUGCUACAAUGGCCGGUACAGAGGGCAUCAAACUCGCGAGGGUAAGCAAAUCUCAGAAAACCGGUCGUAGUCCGGAUCGCAGUCUGCAACUCGACUGCGUGAAGUCGGAAUCGCUAGUAAUCGCGGAUCAGAAUGCCGCGGUGAAUACGUUCCCGGGCCUUGUACACACCGCCCGUCACACCAUGGGAGUGGGUUGCACCAGAAGUAGUUAGCCUAACCGCAAGGAGGGCGAUUACCACGGCAGGGUUCGUGACUGGGGUGAAGUCGUAACAAGGUAGCCGUAG